RNAcentral lists this long non-coding RNA (472 nucleotides) under Apteryx rowi (Okarito brown kiwi). RNAcentral's name for it is "lncRNA (ENSARWG00000014972.1)". Lineage: Eukaryota; Metazoa; Chordata; Aves; Apterygiformes; Apterygidae. The record is from RNAcentral.
GGCAAGGUGUCUGAUUCAUUUCUGGGAGAAUGCAGUGAUAACUGUUCCCAGGCUGUAUAGUUUUCAGUGUUCUUGCAGAAGAAUGGGAAUAUGUCUUCAACAGAGUGUGACAUUUAACUGAGUUGCUGGAAUAAUGUCUAACCUGCAAGCUGUAUGACUGAGCAGCCAUGUAUUUUGAUGACUUGGGGAAAAUGUCCUAGGAUGCUGUGUCAAAAACCCCUACAAGCAUAAGUAACAUCAAAGUUGCUGGCUUGUGCUAACAACAGAUUUCUGGUCCAGUGAGUGCAGUAUGCUGCCAUUACCUGGUACUAAGAUGAUAGUUAAGGAAACUUUGAUCACCUCCAAAUUCAGUAAAUCCAAGAUGCUUAUUUUUCAGUGUGUCCAAAUGACAAAUGGAAAGCAUGAAGAUGCAACUCUCCAGAAGAAUGGUAAGCUGAAUAAGGAAACUGUCAGCAAUGAUACACUCUCGUAA